RNAcentral lists this ribosomal RNA (480 nucleotides) under uncultured bacterium. RNAcentral's name for it is "partial 16S ribosomal RNA". It matches the Rfam family "Bacterial small subunit ribosomal RNA", at positions 28 to 507 of the family's 1533-position model. The record is from RNAcentral.
GAUGAACGCUGGCGGCAGGCCUAACACAUGCAAGUCGAGGGGUAGAAGGAGCUUUCUCUUUGGAGACCGGCGGACGGGCGGGUAAGGAGUAUGCAAGCUACCUGCUACAGGGGAAUGGCUAAGAGAAAGUUGGAGGAAUGCACCAUAGAAUAGAACCUCCGCAGGAUGGUGAUGUUAAAGUUCUAACGGUACAAGGGGAGGCUGCGUCCCAUUAGUUCGUUGGUAAGGGAAGUGCUUACCAAGACGAUGAUGGGUAGGGGUCCUGCGAGGGAGCUCCCCCACACUGGUACUGAGCCCCGGACCAGACUCCUACGGCAGGCAGCAGUGCGGAAUAUUAGUGAGUGGUCUCAAGCCUGAUCCAGCCAUGCCGUGUGCAGCAACACCGUCCUAUGGAUUGUAAACUGCUUUUUUACAGGCACAAUCCCUCCAACGUGUGGGUGCUUGACGGUACUGUAGGAAUAAGCACCGGCUAACUCCGUG